ACUUUAGAUAGAGGUUGCGUAUUCAAUGAGUAAUUCUGCGGAUGUGUCAGGCACAGGAGAAGCAGAAUGGAAGGUGAAUAUGCCGAAAGGUUCGGUCUCCUGAGGAUCGGAUGCUUGGGCAUAUAGUUAAGAGCUAUAUGACUGUCAUCGCAGAUGGGGCGCUAUCAGUUCA
RNAcentral lists this non-coding RNA (172 nucleotides) under Butyrivibrio proteoclasticus. RNAcentral's name for it is "Lysine sequence". It matches the Rfam family "Lysine riboswitch aptamer". Rfam says of the family: Riboswitches are metabolite binding domains within certain messenger RNAs that serve as precision sensors for their corresponding targets. Allosteric rearrangement of mRNA structure is mediated by ligand binding, and this results in modulation of gene expression. Lineage: Bacteria; Bacillati; Bacillota; Clostridia; Lachnospirales; Lachnospiraceae. RNAcentral also lists the same sequence under 1 other name. The record is from RNAcentral.